UGCUGAUCAUUUGUUUAUUAAAAUGUGUCCUAUUACACAGUGAGUUAACUCUCAAUGAAGUCAUCUAUUUUCUGGGCUAAAAAACUUCAUUUGUCUUUUUCAACUUCUAAUAAGCUUAACCUAAGUGUCACAGAAGCCUAGGUGUCACAGAGGUCCACUCAGUGACAAACACACACUGAAGGCCUGAGGAAGACGAGAUGUCACAGAGGUCCACUCAGUGACAAACACACACUGAAGGCCUGAGGAAGACUAGAUGUCACAGAGGUCCACUCAGUGACAAACACACACUGAAGGCCUGAGGAAGACGAGAUGUCACAGAGGUCCACUCAGUGACAAACACACACUGAAGGCCUGAGGAAGACUAGAUGUCACAGAGGUCCACUCAGUGACAAACACACACUGAAGGCCUGAGGAAGACGAGAUGUCACAGAGGUCCACUCAGUGACAAACACACACUGAAGGCCUGAGGAAGACGAGAUGUCACAGAGGUCCACUCAGUGACAAACACACACUGAAGGCCUGAGGAAGACUAGAUGUCACAGAGGUCCACUCAGUGACAAACACACACUGAAGGCCUGAGGAAGACGAGAUGUCACAGAGGUCCACUCAGUGACAAACACACACUGAAGGCCUGAGGAAGACGAGAUGUCACAGAGGUCCAC
Molecule: long non-coding RNA, 662 nt
Filed under: Homo sapiens (human)
Lineage: Eukaryota; Metazoa; Chordata; Mammalia; Primates; Hominidae
Description: non-protein coding lnc-ADAM17-3:3
Source: RNAcentral